AGCGAACGCUGGCGGCAGGCUUAACACAUGCAAGUCGAGCGGGCAUCCUUGUGGUGUCAGCGGCAGACGGGUGAGUAACGCGUGGGAACGUGCCCUUCGGUUCGGAAUAACUCAGGGAAACUUGAGCUAAUACCGGAUACGUGCGAGAGCAGAAAGGUUUAUCUGCCGAAGGAUCGGCCCGCGUCUGAUUAGCUAGUUGGUGAGGUUAUGGCUCACCAAGGCGACGAUCAGUAGCUGGUCUGAGAGGAUGAUCAGCCACACUGGGACUGAGACACGGCCCAGACUCCUACGGGAGGCAGCAGAGGGGAAUAUUGGACAAUGGGGGCAACCCUGAUCCAGCCAUGCCGCGUGAGUGAUGACGGCCUUAGGGUUGUAAAGCUCUUUUCUCCGGGACGAUAAUGACGGUACCGGAGGAAUAAGCCCCGGCUAACUUCGUG
This 437-nucleotide ribosomal RNA is filed under the name uncultured bacterium. RNAcentral describes it as "partial 16S ribosomal RNA". It matches the Rfam family "Bacterial small subunit ribosomal RNA", at positions 29 to 507 of the family's 1533-position model. The record is from RNAcentral.